UCGAGGGGUUUCUUUUAAAGUAUCUCCCUCUUGGCGCGUUCUGUCAGCCUUGUGCAUAGUAAGGAAUGUAUGCGCGAUUUGGACAAUUUCGGGCAAUGUGACCAGGUGUUCCACAGUGAAAACAUGUCUUUUUCUUCACUGUGAAGUUGUUUCUUCCUGCCCCUGGUGGCGUGUCCUUUCCUUGUCUCUUAUUGUUCCCAGAAUUACUCUAUUGCGUUGGAAUUGGAGGCUUGUAUUUCUCAACGGCAGGUUUGUUAGGAGUAGCAGAAUUUGAAGCAACAGAUUCUGAGUUCAAGGAGUCAUUGGUUUGUUUAGUAGUGUUCUUCUUGUUCUCAUCUACUACUUUACCUGCACAUGAAGUAGCAACAUUAGUAUCUUCAGAAUUACUCUAUUGCGUUGGAAUUGGAGGCUUGUAUUUCUCAACGGCAGGUUUGUUAGGAGUAGCAGAAUUUGAAGCAACAGAUUCUGAGUUCAAGGAGUCAUUGGUUUGUUUAGUAGUGUUCUUCUUGUUCUCAUCUACUACUUUACCUGCACAUGAAGUAGCAACAUUAGUAUCUUCAAC
This 562-nucleotide long non-coding RNA is filed under the name Lactuca sativa (garden lettuce). RNAcentral's name for it is "long non-coding RNA (LSAT_LNC010319)". The record is from RNAcentral. Lineage: Eukaryota; Viridiplantae; Streptophyta; Magnoliopsida; Asterales; Asteraceae.